AGCGGCGGACGGGUGAGUAACACGUGGGUAACCUGCCUGUAAGACUGGGAUAACUUCGGGAAACCGAAGCUAAUACCGGAUAGUUUCGAGCAUCGCAUGAUGCUUGAUGGAAAGACGGUUUCGGCUGUCACUUACAGAUGGACCCGCGUCGCAUUAGCUAGUUGGUGAGGUAAUGGCUCACCAAGGCGACGAUGCGUAGCCGACCUGAGAGGGUGAUCGGCCACACUGGGACUGAGACACGGCCCAG
RNAcentral lists this ribosomal RNA (247 nucleotides) under uncultured bacterium. RNAcentral describes it as "partial 16S ribosomal RNA". It matches the Rfam family "Bacterial small subunit ribosomal RNA", at positions 94 to 334 of the family's 1533-position model. The record is from RNAcentral.